UGCGGCAGCGACACUGUGUGUUGUUGGGUAGGGGAGCGUUCUGUAAGCCUGUGAAGGUGUGUCGUGAGGCAUGCUGGAGGUAUCAGAAGUGCGAAUGCUGACAUAAGUAACGAUAAAGCGGGUGAAAAGCCCGCUCGCCGGAAGACCAAGGGUUCCUGUCCAACGUUAAUCGGGGCAGGGUGAGUCGACCCCUAAGGCGAGGCCGAAAGGCGUAGUCGAUGGGAAACGGGUUAAUAUUCCCGUACUUGGUGUUACUGCGAAGGGGGGACGGAGAAGGCUAUGUUGGCCGGGCGACGGUUGUCCCGGUUUAAGCGUGUAGGUGUGUGUUCCAGGUAAAUCCGGUUCACUUUAACACUGAGGCGUGACGACGAGGCACUACGGUGCUGAAGCAACAAAUGCCCUGCUUCCAGGAAAAGCCUCUAAGCAUCAGGUAACAUCAAAUCGUACCCCAAACCGACACAGGUGGUCAGGUAGAGAAUACCAAGGCGCUUGAGAGAACUCGGGUGAAGGAACUAGGCAAAAUGGUGCCGUAACUUCGGGAGAAGGCACGCUGACACGUAGGUGAAGUGAUUUACUCAUGGAGCUGAAGUCAGUCGAAGAUACCAGCUGGCUGCAACUGUUUAUUAAAAACACAGCACUGUGCAAACACGAAAGUGGACGUAUACGGUGUGACGCCUGCCCGGUGCCGGAAGGUUAAUUGAUGGGGUCAGCGCAAGCGAAGCUCCUGAUCGAAGCCCCGGUAAACGGCGGCCGUAACUAUAACGGUCCUAAGGUAGCGAAAUUCCUUGUCGGGUAAGUUCCGACCUGCACGAAUGGCGUAAUGAUGGCCAGGCUGUCUCCACCCGAGACUCAGUGAAAUUGAACUCGCUGUGAAGAUGCAGUGUACCCGCGGCAAGACGGAAAGACCCCGUGAACCUUUACUAUAGCUUGACACUGAACAUUGAGCCUUGAUGUGUAGGAUAGGUGGGAGGCUUUGAAGUGUGGACGCCAGUCUGCAUGGAGCCGACCUUGAAAUACCACCCUUUAAUGUUUGAUGUUCUAACGUGGACCCGUUACCCGGGUUGCGGACAGUGUCUGGUGGGUAGUUUGACUGGGGCGGUCUCCUCCUAAAGAGUAACGGAGGAGCACGAAGGUUGGCUAAUCCUGGUCGGACAUCAGGAGGUUAGUGCAAUGGCAUAAGCCAGCUUGACUGCGAGCGUGACGGCGCGAGCAGGUGCGAAAGCAGGUCAUAGUGAUCCGGUGGUUCUGAAUGGAAGGGCCAUCGCUCAACGGAUAAAAGGUACUCCGGGGAUAACAGGCUGAUACCGCCCAAGAGUUCAUAUCGACGGCGGUGUUUGGCACCUCGAUGUCGGCUCAUCACAUCCUGGGGCUGAAGUAGGUCCCAAGGGUAUGGCUGUUCGCCAUUUAAAGUGGUACGCGAGCUGGGUUUAGAACGUCGUGAGACAGUUCGGUCCCUAUCUGCCGUGGGCGCUGGAGAACUGAGGGGGGCUGCUCCUAGUACGAGAGGACCGGAGUGGACGCAUCACUGGUGUUCGGGUUGUCAUGCCAAUGGCACUGCCCGGUAGCUAAAUGCGGAAGAGAUAAGUGCUGAAAGCAUCUAAGCACGAAACUUGCCCCGA
This 1619-nucleotide ribosomal RNA is filed under the name Salmonella enterica. RNAcentral's name for it is "partial 23S ribosomal RNA". It matches the Rfam family "Bacterial large subunit ribosomal RNA", at positions 1201 to 2802 of the family's 2925-position model. The record is from RNAcentral. Lineage: Bacteria; Pseudomonadati; Pseudomonadota; Gammaproteobacteria; Enterobacterales; Enterobacteriaceae.